This 68-nucleotide transfer RNA is filed under the name Sphaerodactylus townsendi. RNAcentral's name for it is "tRNA-Ala". The record is from RNAcentral. Lineage: Eukaryota; Metazoa; Chordata; Lepidosauria; Squamata; Sphaerodactylidae.
GUGUGGUUCACUGGUGGAACAACUGCAUGGCAUGCCAAAGGUCCCAGGUUCAAGUCCUGGCAGCAACA